CUUACAACAUCAUUCUUGUUGUUACGCCUAAUCAUACAAUAAAUAUGUGAUUGUGAUAAGAGAAUAAUAAAUUAUAUUUUAAUUUUUUUUUUUAUGUAUAACAUCAAUUUUUUUAUUUUAUAUAAUACGAAUAUUGAAUUUAUGAUGGCUAAUAUAUUUUUAAGAUAUUUAUUCAAUAAAUUUAGAAAAACCAGAGCAAGUUGAACCAACAAAAUAGUACCCUAUUGGCUGUUUCCACGUAUCAUGUAUACCUCUCAUCAUCAAGACCAUUACAGAUUUUGCAACAUCAGUGGUUUUAUGUGUCUCUACAUCAUGGAAUCCAAUAACUUCAUCUUUGGCAUAAUUAUAGAGAUGUAUAUGAUGUGAUAUAAACUACCUGAACAAGGUGUUGAACAACUUGAUGUAGGCCUUGAUGAAAUAUCUGAUGUUGAAUCAUUCUUUGAACACUCAGGUUUUCAUCUUUAGGAAAACGAUGAAAUGUUACUUUGUGUUGACCUUCCUUAUUUUUGCAAAUAACACAAGUGUUCGGCAUUUUGUAAAAUUACAAAAAACAAGAUAAAAAAUAAUUGCAAAAAAACACGUGUAAAUAA
Molecule: long non-coding RNA, 590 nt
Organism: Aphis gossypii (cotton aphid)
Lineage: Eukaryota; Metazoa; Arthropoda; Insecta; Hemiptera; Aphididae
Exons: 4
Source: RefSeq, a predicted model, not a curated record